Molecule: ribosomal RNA, 700 nt
Filed under: uncultured Alphaproteobacteria bacterium
Lineage: Bacteria; Pseudomonadati; Pseudomonadota; Alphaproteobacteria
Description: bacterial SSU rRNA
Rfam family: Bacterial small subunit ribosomal RNA
Source: RNAcentral
UCAGGCCUAACACAUGCAAGUCGAGCGCACCUUCGGGUGAGCGGCGGACGGGUGAGUAACGCGUGGGAAUAUGCCCUUCUCUACGGAAUAGCCUCGGGAAACUGAGAGUAAUACCGUAUACGCCCUUCGGGGGAAAGAUUUAUCGGUGAAGGAUUAGCCCGCGUUGGAUUAGGUAGUUGGUGCGGUAACGGCGCACCAAGCCGACGAUCCAUAGCUGGUUUGAGAGGAUGAUCAGCCACACUGGGACUGAGACACGGCCCAGACUCCUACGGGAGGCAGCAGUGGGGAAUCUUAGACAGUGGGGGAAACCCUGAUCUAGCCAUGCCGCGUGAGUGACGAAGGCCCUAGGGUCGUAAAGCUCUUUCAGCUGUGAAGAUAAUGACGGUAGCAGCAGAAGAAACCCCGGCUAACUCCGUGCCAGCAGCCGCGGUAAUACGGAGGGGGUUAGCGUUGUUCGGAAUUACUGGGCGUAAAGCGCGCGUAGGCGGAUUAGUAAGUUAGAGGUGAAAUCCCAGGGCUCAACCCUGGAACUGCCUUUAAUACUGCUAGUCUUGAGUUCGAGAGAGGUGAGUGGAAUUCCGAGUGUAGAGGUGAAAUUCGUAGAUAUUCGGAGGAACACCAGUGGCGAAGGCGGCUCACUGGCUCGAUACUGACGCUGAGGUGCGAAAGUGUGGGGAGCAAACAGGAUUAGAUACCCUGG